This 249-nucleotide ribosomal RNA is filed under the name Triticum aestivum (bread wheat). RNAcentral describes it as "partial small subunit ribosomal RNA". The record is from RNAcentral. Lineage: Eukaryota; Viridiplantae; Streptophyta; Magnoliopsida; Poales; Poaceae.
AUGAAGGCGUCCUGGAGGUCCUUGCCCAUGGGCGCGGCGCCGGACAUGACCAUGCGGAUGGAGGCGAGAUCGCCGGCGGUCACCUGGGGGCUCUUGGCGAUCUCCACCACGAUGGGCGGCACGAAGGGCGCGAUGGUGAUGCCGUGCGCGCGCACCAGCUCCACCAGCGCGCCGAUGUCGAACUUGCGCAUGAUCACCAUCGCCGACCCGGCCCGCAGCCCCGCCAGCAGCACCGAGUUGAGCGAGUAG